Aedes albopictus (Asian tiger mosquito) is the source of this 3935-nucleotide RNA transcript. It is a transcript of the gene named kelch-like protein 5, with no coding region annotated. The transcript has 10 exons. The record is from RefSeq and is a predicted model, not a curated record. Lineage: Eukaryota; Metazoa; Arthropoda; Insecta; Diptera; Culicidae.
UUUGCGUUCACCAUCCGGACCGCGGACUUGGUUGUGGUAGUGCGAGAACUAUCAGUAAUCUUUAUUUUCAUAUAAACAAAACAGGAAAACAGAGUAGACAGACAUCAGUCAGUCCAGCAGAGCAGAUCCGAUCGGGCUCAGGUUUUUUUUCUGCAACUCGUCGGUCGGUCGGGUCGUCGGAUCAAAAAGACAAGGAAAAAAUCAACCUGCGUACGGAUCAAACCGACAGUGUGAUGAGUCCGUGGCCGUCGUCAGACAUCGGGAGGAGACCGUCGCGAGCGGACAAGUGAAUUUUCUCCACGCACGCAGCAGAAACCAAAGUGUAGCAAAUAUUAGGGGUGGUGUUCCGCGGAGGAUCAAUCAAUCUUCGCAGGAGAAAACGUCGUCAAGGAUUGAUCUUAGGGGAAACACAAAGGAGUGCACUCGAGUGUUCCAGUGUUUAGUGCUGUGUUGUGUUUUUGCGCUCGAAGAGAAAUUCAGUGAACCAUCAAUUUUCGAAAGUGCACCGUAGAGUAAACAAACGAAACACGAAAAUAUUGUGUUUGGGAAAAAGUUAACAAAAGCAUGAGUGAAAUGUCUUGCAAGGGCAGUCCGACGUCGAGCGCUAGCGCUCGGAUAAGCUUGGUCACCGACGAGAGCCAUUUCAGCUUGGCCAGCUUGAACUCUUCCGUCAGCCAGGAUGAGUUCUUCCGCUGCAGGGAGCACUCCGAUCUGGUGCUGAAAAGGAUGCAAGAAUAUCUUCAGAACGAGAAGCUGUGCGACGUGGUCUUGAUCGCAGGAUUAGAUGGCAAGCGCAUUCCAGCCCAUCGUUUGGUACUAUCGGCAUCCUCGGCCUAUUUCAGCGCAAUGUUCACCGGACAUCUACGGGAGAGUCAACAGGAAGAAAUCACCCUACAGGAAGUGUCAGGUGAAGCGCUGCAGCUGCUCAUCCAGUAUUGCUACACAGGCACCAUAGAACUUCGGGAAGACACAGUCGAAACUCUGCUCGCAACCGCCUGUCUACUUCAGCUCAGUACAAUCGUCAAUGCGUGCUGCACAUUUCUGGCCCGCCAGCUGCACCCGUCCAACUGCUUGGGAUUCUCGCUGUUUGCCGAACAGCAGGGAUGUACCGCACUACUCAAAAUUGCAUCGGCCUACACCUGUCAGCACUUCAUGCAGGUGUGGAAGAAUCAGGAAUUCUUCCAGCUGGAUUCAAUGCAACUUUCAACGCUGCUGAAAAGCGACGACCUGAAUGUUCCUAACGAGCAAGAAGUGUUCCACGCACUGAUGGCCUGGAUUCAGUUCGAGCCGGAAACCCGAAAGCAGUACAUACCGGAACUGUUGGCACUGAUACGGCUGCCACUUCUGCAACCAUCGUUCAUAGUCGAUCACGUGGAAGCUCUCUGCGGUGCUAACGAGUGCCAACAGUUGGUGAUGGAGGCGUUCAAAUGGCAUCUCAUACCCGGAAGAAGAUCGCAAAUAUCAACGCAACGAACCCGACCGAGGAAGUCAACCAUCGGUAAACUGCUCGCCGUAGGGGGAAUGGACGGCCACAAAGGGGCCAUUAGCAUAGAAAGCUACGAGCCGCGCUUGGACAAGUGGACUUUAUUGAAGAAUAUGCCUGCCAGACGACUCCAGUUCGGCGUUGCCGUAAUGGAUGAUAAGCUGAUCAUUGUGGGCGGCAGGGAUGGUCUGAAGACGCUGAACACCGUGGAGUGUUUCGACCUGACAACGAUGACCUGGGGCUCGAUCGUGCCACCAAUGGGUACUCCUAGACACGGUCUAGGAGUUGCAUUCCUAGAAGGGCCGCUGUACGCGGUCGGUGGUCACGACGGGUGGAGUUAUCUCGCUACCGUCGAACGAUGGGAUCCUGCUGCCCGCACGUGGAGCUACGUAGCGCCAAUGUCCUCUAUGCGAUCCACUGCCGGAGUUGCGGUUCUGAAUUCUAGAUUGUUUGUGAUUGGAGGCAGAGAUGGUAGCGUUUGCCAUCGGACAGUCGAAUGUUACGAUCCGCAUACGAAUAAGUGGACCCUGCGUGCUCCGAUGAACAAGCGUAGAGGAGGGGUAGGGGUUGGUGUCCUGAACGGGUAUCUGUAUGCUUUGGGUGGACAUGACUGCCCUGCCAGUAAUCCAGCUGUCUGCCGAACCGAAACAGUGGAAAGAUACGAUCCCACCACGGAUACUUGGACUCUGAUCGCUUCGCUCAGUGUUGGACGCGAUGCCAUCGGAGUAAGUGUACUCGGUGAUUGGCUUAUCGCCGUUGGUGGCUACGAUGGAAACCAGUAUUUGAAGACAGUUGAACAGUACGACACGGAAAGCAACGAAUGGCAACAGAUCGCGCCUGUCAAUUACAGUCGGGCCGGGGCCUGCGUGGUGGCAAUUCCUAACAACUUUUCGCCCGCCAGUGGGACCAGUGCAGUCGCAACUAGUGGCCCUUCAGUGGCCUCGAUAGCUGGAGCAUUGGUGUCAUCAUCCUCCUCGACGAAUACUACGGUUUAGUACAAGAGUUCCACUUCAGCACUGAUUUCUAGUGAUGCUUCUCUAUUCCUAAGGGCGUCCAUCAUCAAUCGGACGCUACAAAUAAUACAGCAUCUCGCGUGUUCGUGUGUUUACUACUAUCCCUUUUACUGUUAAGUAUUGUUAGUGUCUGAUCGAAGAACAAAGUUGCUACAAGGCGCAACUGACAGGAUACCAUCCAUCAGGCAAACAAUCUGAAAUGUUCAGGCCUACGAAUGCAAAAUCAAACGAAACUAUAUAUUUUUCAUACAGUAGUGAUAACCCCGUUAUACACACAAAAUACCGGCACAUGCCGUGCCCUGUAAGACAUGGAAACCGCACAAUCACCAAUCUCUGUCCGUAAUAGCAUGCACAAGCACCACUAUCUAACACCAUAGAAUGAAAGUUCUUUUACCCAAAAAACAAACGCUCUAAUCGAAUGCCGCUACAUAUAGUGUUCUAGUGUAACAGGGGAGCGGGUUCCUCUCGUAGCGGCAACUAUUACUAUAGGCGACAGUUUAGGAUCUUUGAUUAUUACGUUUAGAACGCAAAGCUGCCCAUCCAAGUGAAGAUAUCGAACUACACACACACACCCACGUUACUGUACUGAUAAUGCGAUAGGUUAGGUCAGAACCCAAAUCGAAUCCUACAUCCAUACCGCAAUGAAGACGAUUUUCUUUCCUGUGAUUAUUUUUUAUUAUACUUUAGAAACUAGGUCCACAUUUAUCCACAUUUAUACAAACCCGCCAAACAGGCUUUCCAGUGAAACGCAAGCCAACCCUCGCGAUUCGCGAUCCCCACCGGAAGUGGUACGAUACGAACUCGUUUCCUCCCGCCCUUCUGAGAUUAGUUAGCAAGUUUGACGAUGUGAUUCGAGAUGGUCUUUCGCCCAUGCCCAAAGAUUCGUAGCCAAAAUAAGACAAACGAAGGGAGAGACACGAAAUUGAGGGGAAAUCACGGAUCCGGUGGGAAAUCGCCUCGAGGAUACAUCUAAGUUACUUUAUCUGUGAUCGGCUAAAUCAAUUAAAACUAAAAAUGUAUGUACUUCGUAGCCCCGAGGAGGCAGGGACGUUAGGUACUUUUGAUCAGUUUGAUUUUCUCUCGAUGUAUACUCCUGAGUGGCUGUUAGGUUAAGAAUCAUAGAGGUGAGUUGUGAGCAAAUUUCCGCCUAAACAGGAAAACGCUUCCGUGUGUGACAGAUCUUUUACUGUGUUAAGCAAAUUACAUUCUAAGUAGGAAACUGACGAGCAUUUAAGCUUGUAGAGCAAAAACGAAAGACGAGUGUAGAUAGGCACGUAAGAAACGCUUGAAAAUAGUGAAAAAAAGGCACCCAUGUAAAAACCAGUCGUAAAUCUGAUGUCAGGCUAUAGCACAAGAGAAAGUGGUACUAAUUUUGAUACUAUUUAUACUCAAUACUAUUACACUGAAGAUCAAUUAAUAAAUCAUAUUUUAGUACUAAA